RNAcentral lists this ribosomal RNA (492 nucleotides) under Triticum aestivum (bread wheat). RNAcentral's name for it is "partial small subunit ribosomal RNA". The record is from RNAcentral. Lineage: Eukaryota; Viridiplantae; Streptophyta; Magnoliopsida; Poales; Poaceae.
AUGUUAGACACUGCUGGUUUAUCUAAGGCAUGGUGGGGGGAGGCUCUAUUGACUUCAUGUCAUGUCCUGAAUAGAGUUCCCAACAAUAAUAAGGAGAAAACCCCUUAUGAGGAGUGGGUUGGGAGAAGACCAUCACUUUCUUAUUUGCGCACUUGGGGAUGUUUGGCAAAGGUCAAUAUUCCUAUUCCUAAGAAACGCAAACUUGGACCAAAGACAGUGGAUUGUGUCUUUCUAGGGUAUGCUCAACGGAGCAUUGCUUAUAGGUUUUUAGUGGUAAAAUCUGAAGUACCUGAUAUGCAUGUUGAUACUAUAAUGGAAUCUCGUGAUGCAACAUUUUUUGAGAACAUAUUUCCUAUGAAAGAUAUGCAUAGCAUUGCUAGAUUUUCUUCUGAGAUAAUUCCUGAAUCUAGUACAACUGAUGAAUAUUUCGAACAUUCACAUGAGGAAGUCCUUGAGAAGGAUAACAAUGAAGUUCCUAUAAGGAACAAGUGA